ACUUAGCCCUGAUUGAACGAUCUGUUUGAGCUCUUUUUUGAGUUUUUACGAAAAAAAAGCGAGUAGUGAAAGCAGGAAAUAGC
RNAcentral lists this unclassified non-coding RNA (83 nucleotides) under Polaribacter sp. KT25b. Its description in RNAcentral is "Flavo-1 RNA". The record is from RNAcentral. Lineage: Bacteria; Pseudomonadati; Bacteroidota; Flavobacteriia; Flavobacteriales; Flavobacteriaceae.